This 205-nucleotide long non-coding RNA is filed under the name Hordeum vulgare. RNAcentral's name for it is "long non-coding RNA (HVUL_LNC001293)". The record is from RNAcentral. Lineage: Eukaryota; Viridiplantae; Streptophyta; Magnoliopsida; Poales; Poaceae.
GUCCAGAUGUCGGCGGGGACGAGGAUGAUGACGGAGAGGGAGGAGAACCAAGUGUAGCCAACGAUGGCCUGGACGUAGCGCGGCACGCUCGGGCCGACGAAGUAGCGCAGCGUGACGACGACCAUGCCCAGCGUCAGGGGCAGCGAUAUCAGGUAGAAGACCCACAUCUCGCCACCCUCCACCUCGGCCUAGCCGCGGCGCCGCG